GAAAUGCGAUAAGUAAUGAAUUGCAGAAUUCAGUGAAUCAUCGAAUCUUUGAACACACAUUGCGCCCGCCAGCACUCUGGCGGGCAUGCCUGUUCGAGCGUCAUUUCAACCCUCAGAACCCCUUGCGGGAUCUGGCGUUGGGGAUUGGCAUCCAGCCAGCCCCGAAAUCUAGUGGUGGUCCCUCCGCGACCUCCCCUGUGCAGUAGCGAUACCUCGCAGCGGGACAGCGGUCUGACCACGCCGUAAAACCCCCAACUUCUCAAGGUUGACCUCGAAUCAGGUAGGAAUACCCGCUGAACUUAAGC
This 305-nucleotide unclassified non-coding RNA is filed under the name plant metagenome. RNAcentral's name for it is "partial contains 5.8S ribosomal RNA, internal transcribed spacer 2, and large subunit ribosomal RNA". The stretch from base 1 to 103 matches the Rfam family "5.8S ribosomal RNA", at positions 50 to 154 of the family's 154-position model. The record is from RNAcentral.